RNAcentral lists this ribosomal RNA (255 nucleotides) under uncultured bacterium. Its description in RNAcentral is "partial 16S ribosomal RNA". It matches the Rfam family "Bacterial small subunit ribosomal RNA", at positions 524 to 776 of the family's 1533-position model. The record is from RNAcentral.
UACGUAGGUGGCAAGCGUUGUCCGGAUUUAUUGGGUUUAAAGGGUGCGUAGGCGGCCCUGUAAGUCAGUGCUGAAAUACCCCGGCUUAACCGGGGGGGGUGGCAUUGAUACUGCAGGGCUUGAGUACAGAUGAGGUAGGCGGAAUUGACGGUGUAGCGGUGAAAUGCAUAGAUAUCGUCAAGAACACCGAUAGCGAAGGCAGCUUACUGGGCUGUAAACUGACGCUGAUGCACGAAAGUGUGGGGAUCAAACAGG